GAUGAACGCUGGCGGCGUGCCUAAUACAUGCAAGUCGAGCGAACAGACGAGGAGCUUGCUCCUCUGACGUUAGCGGCGGACGGGUGAGUAACACGUGGAUAACCUACCUAUAAGACUGGGAUAACUUCGGGAAACCGGAGCUAAUACCGGAUAACAUGUUGAACCGCAUGGUUCAACAGUGAAAGACGGUCUUGCUGUCACUUAUAGAUGGAUCCGCGCCGCAUUAGCUAGUUGGUAAGGUAACGGCUUACCAAGGCAUCGAUGCGUAGCCGACCUGAGAGGGUGAUCGGCCACACUGGAACUGAGACACGGUCCAGACUCCUACGGGAGGCAGCAGUAGGGAAUCUUCCGCAAUGGGCGAAAGCCUGACGGAGCAACGCCGCGUGAGUGAAGAAGGUCUUCGGAUCGUAAAACUCUGUUAUUAGGGAAGAACAAAUGUGUAAGUAACUAUGCACGUCUUGACGGUACCUAAUCAGAAAGCCACGGCUAACUACGUG
This 497-nucleotide ribosomal RNA is filed under the name uncultured bacterium. Its description in RNAcentral is "partial 16S ribosomal RNA". It matches the Rfam family "Bacterial small subunit ribosomal RNA", at positions 28 to 507 of the family's 1533-position model. The record is from RNAcentral.